GGGAACUACCUUUCGGUACGGAACAACAGUUGGAAACGACUGCUAAUACCGUAUACGUCCUUCGGGAGAAAGAUUUAUCGCCGAUAGAGGGGCCCGCGUUGGAUUAGCUUGUUGGUGAGGUAAUGGCUCACCAAGGCGACGAUCCGUAGCUGGUCUGAGAGGAUGAUCAGCCACACUGGGACUUAGACACGGCCCAGACUCCUACGGGAGGCAGCAGUGGGGAAUAUUGGACAAUGGGCGCAAGUGAUCCAGCCAUGCCGCGUGAGUGAUGACGGCCCUAGGGUUGUAAAGCUCUUUCAGUGGUGAAGAUAAUGACGGUAACCACAGAAGAAGCCCCGGCUAACUCCGUGCCAGCAGCCGCGGUAAUACGGAGGGGGCAAGCGUUGUUCGGAAUUACUGGGCGUAAAGCGCGCGUAGGGGGUCUUUAAGUCAGAGGUGAAAUCCUGGAGCUCAACUCCAGAACUGCCUUUGAUACUGGAGAUCUUGAGUCCGGAAGAGGUUAGUGGAAUUCCCAGUGUAGAGGUGAAAUUCGUAGAUAUUGGGAAGAACACCAGUGGCGAAGGGGCUAACUGCUCCGGUACUGACGCUGAGGUGCGAAAGGUGGGGAGCAAACAGGAUUAGAUACCCUGGUAGUCCACGCCGUAAACGAUGAAUGUUAGCCGUCGGCAGUAUACUGUUCGGUGGCGCAGUAACGCAUUAAACAUUCCGCCUGGGGAGUACGGUCGCAAGAUUAAAACUCAAAGGAAUUGACGGGGGCCCGCACAAGCGUGGAGCAUGUGGUUUAAUUCGAAGCAACGCGCAGAACCUUACCUACCCUUGACAUCCCGAUCGCGGUUUUCAGAGAUGAAUUCC
RNAcentral lists this ribosomal RNA (852 nucleotides) under uncultured bacterium. RNAcentral's name for it is "bacterial SSU rRNA". It matches the Rfam family "Bacterial small subunit ribosomal RNA", at positions 119 to 1014 of the family's 1533-position model. The record is from RNAcentral.